GGCUCAGAAUCAACGCGGGCGGCGCGCUUAACACAUGCAAGUCGAACGAGAAAGUGGAGCAAUCCAUGAGUACAGUGGCGUACGGGUGAGUAACACGUGGGUAAUCUACCUCUUGGUGGGGAAUAACCCUGGGAAACCGGGGCUAAUACCGCAUAAGCUCGGAAGAGGAAGCCCGAAAGGGGCCGAGAGAGGAGCCCGCGGCCGAUUAGCUAGUUGGUGAGGUAAAGGCUCACCAAGGCGAAGAUCGGUAGCCGGCCUGAGAGGGCACACGGCCACACUGGCACUGAAACACGGGCCAGACUCCUACGGGAGGCAGCAGUGGGGAAUCUUGCACAAUGGGGGCAACCCUGAUGCAGCGACGCCGCGUGAGCGAUGAAGCCCUUCGGGGUGUAAAGCUCUUUCGGCCGGAACGAUAAUGACGGUACCGGCAGAAGAAGCUGCGGCUAACUACGUGCCAGCAGCCGCGGUAAUACGUAGGCAGCGAGCGUUGUUCGGAGUUACUGGGCGUAAAGAGUGCGUAGGCGGUGCUCUAAGUUUGGUGUGAAAUCUCCCGGCUCAACUGGGAGGGUGCGCCGAAAACUGGAGUGCUCGAGUGUGGGAGAGGUAAGCGGAAUCCCUGGUGUAGCGGUGAAAUGCGUAGAUAUCAGGAGGAACACCUGCGGUGUAGACGGCUUACUGGACCAUGACUGACGCUGAGGCACGAAAGCGUGGGGAGCAAACAGGAUUAGAUACCCUGGUAGUCCACGCCCUAAACGAUGCAUACUUGGUGUGAGCGAUUCAUUUCGUUCGUGCCGGAGCUAACGCGUUAAGUAUGCCGCCUGGGGGAGUACGGUCGCAAGGCUGAAACUCAAAG
This 853-nucleotide ribosomal RNA is filed under the name uncultured bacterium. RNAcentral describes it as "bacterial SSU rRNA". It matches the Rfam family "Bacterial small subunit ribosomal RNA", at positions 21 to 906 of the family's 1533-position model. The record is from RNAcentral.